GAAGCUGACCAGACAGUCGCCGCUUCGUCGUCGUCCUCUUCGGGGGAGACGGGCGGAGGGGAGGAAAGUCCGGGCUCCAUAGGGCAGGGUGCCAGGUAACGCCUGGGGGGGGAAACCUACGACCAGUGCAACAGAGAGCAAACCGCCGAUGGCCCGCGCAAGCGGGAUCAGGUAAGGGUGAAAGGGUGCGGUAAGAGCGCACCGCGCGGCUGGUAACAGUCCGUGGCACGGUAAACUCCACCCGGAGCAAGGCCAAAU
This 258-nucleotide RNase P RNA is filed under the name Shigella dysenteriae. RNAcentral's name for it is "partial RNase P RNA component class A". It matches the Rfam family "Bacterial RNase P class A", at positions 1 to 233 of the family's 367-position model. Rfam says of the family: Ribonuclease P (RNase P) is a ubiquitous endoribonuclease, found in archaea, bacteria and eukarya as well as chloroplasts and mitochondria. Its best characterised activity is the generation of mature 5'-ends of tRNAs by cleaving the 5'-leader elements of precursor-tRNAs. Cellular RNase Ps are ribonucleoproteins. Lineage: Bacteria; Pseudomonadati; Pseudomonadota; Gammaproteobacteria; Enterobacterales; Enterobacteriaceae. The record is from RNAcentral.